RNAcentral lists this ribosomal RNA (301 nucleotides) under uncultured bacterium. Its description in RNAcentral is "partial 16S ribosomal RNA". It matches the Rfam family "Bacterial small subunit ribosomal RNA", at positions 509 to 807 of the family's 1533-position model. The record is from RNAcentral.
CAGUAGCCGCGGGAAUACGUAGGGUGCAAGCGUUAAUCGGAAUUACUGGGCGUAAAGCGUGCGCAGGCGGUUAUAUAAGACAGAUGUGAAAUCCCCGGGCUCAACCUGGGAACUGCAUUUGUGACUGUAUAGCUAGAGUACGGCAGAGGGGGAUGGAAUUCCGCGUGUAGCAGUGAAAUGCGUAGAUAUGCGGAGGAACACCGAUGGCGAAGGCAAUCCCCUGGGCCUGUACUGACGCUCAUGCACGAAAUCGUGGGGAGCAAACAGGAUUAGAUACCCCCGUAGUCCCUGUCUCUUAUAC